UGAGGAUUUUACAUACAUCCGUCGAAAUUCUUACAGACCUGAUUUCACAAGGUAGUUUACCAACCCAUCGUCUUCACUCUCAAUCUUAGAUGGAUGGUCCUGUUCUAGUGAAGAAUCCAUUGUCUGUCGUGAUCCAUCCCAGCCACCGCAUCUGAGGGACUUUGUCUGGACAUGGUUGAGAUAGUAUAUGCAGUAAAACCUGGUUUCAAGAUCAUUGGAGAGAACCAGGACCACUACAGUAGAAUCCCUGGGUUUGUUCAGCGGGAGUGGAUGUCACGUAGGCUGUCCAAGAGAGACUCGAACUACAGUAGAAAAAGACGGACCAGUUUGGUUUGGCGUGGCUAAGUAUCCAUAGACAAACUGUCAACCAAAGGGGUGGAGACCUGCAUGUCUCCGAGGAAUGAAGUUUCUUGUCAGUCAUUCUGCUGUAAUUUUGCCGUUUGAAAACUCCUUGCUUCUGAUCCAAUGCAGUUGAGCUGCCGACAUAGCGAUGUCAGUCAUUGCACUUGUUAUAGUUGACAAUGACAAAAUUAAGCUGUCUAAAGUUUUGGAGUUGUUGGAAGAUGAGGAGGAGGGCUCUAAAACAGGAUGCCUUGCCGUAUGUGUACCAGGUAGCCACCUCAGCUAGGCAAUCUUACUACCAUGAAAUAUCAGCAGCCAGUCAACGAAAGGAUGGAAGCUCCAGGAUGUCAAGUGUCAGAGAAUUUCGUGUCUAACGGCAUACAAAUUUAUGCUAGUUAUCGUAGUGUGGUUUCUUUUCAGCUGAGGUCCAAGAUUUGUGCUGCAUCUGUCACAUAGCCCCAGGGAAACCAUCACAGGAUGCUCGGAGACUUCUAAACUCACAUCUGGAACCCCUGCUGUGAACAGUAGCCGAGGGCCGCACCUGAUGGCAAUCGCUGCCACAAUGUCCCAGAUCUGAAUAGUAGUUACCAGCUGGCUCCACUCGUCCCUAGACCCUGUCACAACCAAGCUGAAGACAGUAGCUGUCACAAUUCUGA
Molecule: long non-coding RNA, 998 nt
Organism: Lineus longissimus
Lineage: Eukaryota; Metazoa; Nemertea; Pilidiophora; Heteronemertea; Lineidae
Exons: 3
Source: RefSeq, a predicted model, not a curated record